Molecule: long non-coding RNA, 957 nt
Organism: Phoenix dactylifera (date palm)
Lineage: Eukaryota; Viridiplantae; Streptophyta; Magnoliopsida; Arecales; Arecaceae
Source: RefSeq, a predicted model, not a curated record
CUUCCCACCCUCUCUUGAAAACGGCGGCUAAACGGCGGCCGCCGCCCACAGUUUGGAUUGUUCUCUAUAAAGAUCCCGUUCUCUCCAUGGUCCCUUUCUCGCUCUCUUCCCUUUCUCGUUCGUCUUCUUCGCAGGGUCUGCUCUUCAGGAUCUUCAUUUUCCAAUGAAGCCGAGGUUCUUGAAACCUCCUCCUCAGCCUCCCAUAACGAAGGCCCUGCGUUUGGUCGCCCACAUCAGCCUCGGACGUGAAGAAACUUCUCUCAAUCCCCACCGCGCAAACCCGAUGAGGGUUCCCAAGAGCUUAUACUUCCAUCCGAGCCUUCCAUUCCUUCUGAUCAUGGAAUGUUUGCCCUACUACCAGCAGCAUCCUCUGCACCAGCAUGGAUUUGUUCAAGUAGUUGUCCUUGAUGCUGUUUGCUAUGUUUCUUAAAUUUUUUCACAUGCCGGGAUACAGCCCACAGAUUGAAGAUCCAAAGGAUUGAUUAUUGGAAAAGCUGAUCCUGGACAGUACCCGAGCAAAAGUACCAAUGAUCCCAUAAUCUCGUACAGUUCUUGCGAUAUAUCACCAAAGCUUGCUCCUUUCGCCAGCCCGAGUGAGAUCGACAACCCGGACUUGUAGAACGACUGUGGGUAAAUCACUGCAAGAGCCUAAUACUGGAGGUGCCAAGGCUGCUUCUUGCAAGGAAUUGAGAGAGAGCAAAUACAAGUUCAAUUAGAAGCCUUGCCAAGGAGGUUGUACUAGGUGAGUGUUAUUGUAAUAUUUGUGAAGUAGGUUUUAAAGACCUACUCGUAUUAAAGGUUAAAAAUAGGCAGUUUUGAAGUGUUUUGUCAUUGAAUGUAUUUAGACAUAUGACAAUGUUACUGAUGUUUCUUCUUUGACAAUGUUAUCUAGUGAUGUGGUUAGAAAUUGUACUAGGUGAGUGUUAUUAUAAUCUAUUAUUUAGCUAGGUAAUUUGA